CUGUGACCUCAGGGCUUGGCCACACUGCCCUGUGCCUGCUGGACCAGGGCUCCUUUAGAGCUACAGAGAGCCACCACAAGGGCGGCCACCAGAUAGGACAGCUGUGCUUCUGAACUGCCAGGGCCUCAGGGCAGAGGCUGUCACUGUGCUCUGGAUUUCCCUGGGGAGACAGACAAAUGAGCUGACACCUUGUGACACCCAGCAUCUGUCCAGGAGGACACAGGCACUCACGCCAAUCAGGAAUCGAACUCAGCACCUUGCACUGGCCAGGCAGGCGCUUGUGUCCUGAACUAUAUUCCCAGACCAGAAUUUUGAAAACCUUGGCUUUUCUGCCAUGACCUUGCAUGCUUCUCAAUACCUAAAGAGUCAUCAUGAGAUGCCUGUGGUGGACAGUCUCUGAGAUGGCCCGCAGGGACUCUGCAUCCCACCACUCCCACAUCCACGCAGCCCCCUCCCUCUGCGUAUGGGUAGGGAUUAGUCAACAGAGUACAGUGAACGAGAUUAGAGAUCUGCUGAGAUGAGAUUACAUAAAAGAGAAAACCUUAAAGGAAAGGACACUGAAGAAGAAAGAAGAUAUGAACAGCAGAGUGAGGAAUGAAAGGGAAAGUCCAUUAUAAUUAGAGUACAGAUCAUUAGAUCAGGGAAGUAAAACAAGCACCCAGUGUUGUAAUGAGAAGGAAUUUUCACCAGAACUUUCUAAGAAGAUCAAUCCCUGAGGAUAACAGAUAAUUUGAUAAGGCAAACACUCUCAUCAUGAGAUGAAAUUUGGAGGCUUCAGUCCAUGGGGCUGGCUCCAUUGCUCUGAGCUGGAGGUGAAGCAAAGCAUCACAGUGGACAAGAAGGUGUGAGGAGGGAAGCUUCUUUCUUCAUGGCAGCCAGGAAGCACAGACAGAGAAAGAGAGACAAAGCCAUGGACAAGAUAUAUUCUUCCGGGUCAUGCCCCCAGUGAUCUUACUCCAAGGAGUCUCAAUCUCCUUCAGUUUCCAUCAUGUCCCAAUGGCCUAUCAAGUUAUGAUCCUAUCAGCUAGUUAAUCCAUUGAUGAGCUCAGAGCCUUCAUGGUCCAAUCACUCCCCAAAAGUCCUGCUUCAGAACAUUGGUGCACCAAGCUGUUAACACAUGAGCCAUUGGAUAACACUGUACAUCCAAGCUGUAUCAGAAUCUAAAGGAGGGAUCUGUGGAUUUAAAUAUGUGCAUAUAUCAGAAGGGCUCUUUUCAUUGCAGAAGGUCUAGUAUUGGCCAGUGCAAUUUCAAAGUCCAGAGGUUGAGCUGACCUCAGGUAUGGUUGGAUCCAGGAAUUUUUUAAAUGACAUCACUGGGUCUCCUUCUUGGUUUACCUUUUGGUUAACCCUGUUGGGUGGGCUGAGGAGUCUGGAAAGAGUGCCCCAGGCUUCAUGAAACUAGAGAAUGAUGCUCAAAAACAGAGACUGCCUUCCCCUCAGUGUCCACAUGUAAAAUCCCGGGAAAGUCUCCUAUGGCCUUUCUUGGGAGCCAUUUUCUCCCUAGGUACCCAGCACUACUUGAAUUGGCAGAAGAUAAUUACCCAGAGGAAAAAGGGGUGUUGUUGUCAGACAAGGAGAAACAAUGUUGGGCAGAUAAUAUGACAUAUGUCUCCAGUAGUGAGUGACAAUAACCAGGGGCUGGGAAGAUUGUUUAAUAUUUAAAGUUAUGCCAACCUAAUUCAAUAACUGGAGACUUCACGCAGCUGUAGAGCGUUUGUCUCGGCAGUGCCUCAUUACUGGAGGCUUGGGUUGUGUAUAUGAAUUGACUUGGGAUGAUGGAGUCUAAUGAAGAGAGUCAGGGGUAGGCUAGGAAAAGAGGUUUCGGAAUGCAAUUCACAGGCUCAGAUUUUUAAGGAAACAUUCAGUGCUUUCUCCUUGCAUGUCAGCAGCUGUUUUCUUCCAGAACACAGAGUGGCUCACGGAGCCCAUAUCCAUUUGAAUAAAGAAUGAACAACCGCUGUAGCAAAGCCACAACUGCCAGAUGCUCUUGGAUGUGACGUGGUUGAAUUUCUACUGCUCCCGAGUCCCCAGGAGAGGACUUGGCUUCUCUGGGGACUCCCGAUAUUUUUGAAAGGGAGAAUUCGGUUCCAAAUGACAGAUAUUUAAUUCCCAAUCACACAGAGAUGGUGCCAUUAUUCCAUUGUGAUAGUCUUAGGUAGUAAAUAAAGAGUUAUGAUUAAUUAAAUUAAGAAUUGUUGUGAAAAAAGUGACAGACAUUUCAACCGAGACCAACAGAGGUAGGAGAGGGCCGUCAUGCUCCCCAGGCUGCCUGCCAAAAAAGAGCCGUGGUGGGGUUUGGUUGGAUACGGGAAGAUGCUGAAUAAUAAGACAAUGAAUAAUUGAUGGGGACUAUGACAAGUUUUCAACUUUGGUAAAAGUUUUUAAAAUUUUAAGUAUCACCACCAUGACAUAUGAGAAAUAUAAUUGCGUUGAAAUUGCUUAUUUUAAGAAAUGA
Molecule: long non-coding RNA, 2455 nt
Organism: Chinchilla lanigera (long-tailed chinchilla)
Lineage: Eukaryota; Metazoa; Chordata; Mammalia; Rodentia; Chinchillidae
Exons: 6
Source: RefSeq, a predicted model, not a curated record